This 774-nucleotide ribosomal RNA is filed under the name uncultured Neocallimastigales. RNAcentral describes it as "partial large subunit ribosomal RNA". It matches the Rfam family "Eukaryotic large subunit ribosomal RNA", at positions 22 to 621 of the family's 3401-position model. Lineage: Eukaryota; Fungi; Neocallimastigomycota; Neocallimastigomycetes; Neocallimastigales. The record is from RNAcentral.
AUAUCAGUCAUGCAUAGCAUAUCAAUAAGCGGAGGAAAAGAAACUAACAAGGAUUCCCUUAGUAACGGCGAGUGAAGCGGGAAGAGCUCAAAUUUGAAAUCUUCAAGGUUUUACCUUGACGAAUUGUAGUUUAAAGAAGUGUUUUCUGUUGAAGUUUUGGUAAAAGUUCUUUGGAAUAGGACAUCAUAGAGGGUGAGAAUCCCGUAUUUGACCAUUACUUUCAGCUUUGUGAUACACUUUCAAAGAGUCGGAUUGUUUGGGAAUGCAGUCCAAAAUGGGUGGUAAAUUUCAUCUAAAGCUAAAUAUUGGCGAGAGACCGAUAGCGAACAAGUACCGUGAGGGAAAGAUGAAAAGAACUUUGAAAAGAGAGUUAAACAGUACGUGAAAUUGUCAAAAGGGAAGCGUUUGACACCAGUGUUGUUUUCUCGAAAAUCAAUUAAAAAGAGUUGGAUUUUGUGUUGUAUUGACUUUAUCAGCUUUCUUCACUCUUUUCCAGCUUUUUUUAAUGCACUUUUCGUUUAACAAGUCAACAUCAGUUUCUUUUGUUGUAAGAAGGUCAUUGGAAGGUGGCUUUCUCUUCGGAGAAAGUGUUUAUAGCCUUUGACUCAUGCAAUCGGAGAGACUGAGGUCUGCAGCGUAGAUCCUUCGGGGUUAGAUACAUUUGUGCUAAGUUAUAGCUUUUCAUAGACAACUUGUUGACUAUGUUUAGUCUUGUAGCUUACUCGCUUAUGCUAUUUUACCUACGCUUAGGAUGUUGAACUCUAUCACACACAG